RNAcentral lists this unclassified non-coding RNA (352 nucleotides) under soil metagenome. Its description in RNAcentral is "partial contains 5.8S ribosomal RNA, internal transcribed spacer 2, and large subunit ribosomal RNA". The stretch from base 1 to 120 matches the Rfam family "5.8S ribosomal RNA", at positions 35 to 154 of the family's 154-position model. The record is from RNAcentral.
GAUGAAGAACGUAGCGAAAUGCGAUAAGUAAUGUGAAUUGCAGAAUUCAGUGAAUCAUCGAAUCUUUGAACGCACAUUGCGCCCGCCAGUAUUCUGGUGGGCAUGCCUGUUCGAGCGUCAUUACAACCCUCAGGCCCCCGGGCCUGGCGUUGGGGAUCGGCGGAGCCCCCCGUGGGCACACGCCGUCCCCCAAAUACAGUGGCGGUCCCGCCGCAGCUUCCAUCGCGUAGUAGCUAACACCUCGCGACUGGAGAGCGGCGCGGCCACGCCGUAAAACACCCAACUCUUCUGAAGUUGACCUCGAAUCAGGUAGGAAUACCCGCUGAACUUAAGCAUAUCAAUAAGCGGAGGA